Non-coding RNA from Chiloscyllium plagiosum (whitespotted bambooshark), 869 nucleotides. NCBI's taxonomy places the organism in Eukaryota, Metazoa, Chordata, Chondrichthyes, Orectolobiformes, Hemiscylliidae. The record is from RefSeq and is a predicted model, not a curated record.
CUUUAUUUACUUGUGUAGGGCACACUGCUGUAAGCAGCCAGCUCAGAGUCAGUUCCUGAACUGAGGAGAUUCUGAAUUUCCUGGUUAAAUUUCCUGCUUUUCCUGAUUGGUCCAGGUUAACAACCCCAAUCAGGGAUCUCAUUAUCACCAAGAUCCACCUGGUUCCAAUCACUAGAUUCAUGAAGCAUCAUCAGAGAAAAUGCUCAAAAAUUGCCCUGUCCAAUUCUCUGACAAACGUGCAGGGAGAACCACAUUCAGAGUUACCAAAAGAAAGAAUGUGAAGGCUCAAAGGAAAAAGAAAACCUCUCAGUCCAACCAAGCAAUUCAUGAACCAAGGCCUGACCAUUGCUGCUCAGGCACAGCUGAGGAAAGGAAUACGACUUUGGGAAGAACCUGGUGGCGCUCAGAUCCUAUUGGCGUGAGCUGAAGCUCUGAAUUGCUUUUUUGAUCUGCACCCAUUAAUUCACAGUCUUUCCCAAAACAUGAAAGCAAUCCAGCGUUAAGUUUAUGAAGUCUAGUUCAGCUGCUCAGCAACAGCGACCUAUUUUUAAACACAAAUAGGAUUCCCGACCUAAAAAAGUGAUUGAAAUUCUGCUUACCUACAUUUACAGUGAACUGACGUUAGAAAUUGGAAUAUUUUCAAAACUUCCUGCUGUAAACAUUGCUGGCAUAAAACAUUAAUAAAUGUAAGGGCAACCAUUCAGACAAAGAACAAGCUUGAACCACUCACAUAUCAUGGUUCACACAGAUAUCUUUGUUUCUAUAAGAAAUAGGAGUAUGAGAAGGCCAUUCAGCCCGUCAGACCUGCUCUGCCAUUCAACAAUGAUGUGGAGGUGCUCGUGUUGGACUGGGUUAGAUAAGAUCAGAAG